Molecule: long non-coding RNA, 276 nt
Filed under: Carica papaya (papaya)
Lineage: Eukaryota; Viridiplantae; Streptophyta; Magnoliopsida; Brassicales; Caricaceae
Description: long non-coding RNA (CPAP_LNC013506)
Source: RNAcentral
AUGAAACCAGAAGUUGAAAAGGCACUGAUUUCCAAGGAAACAAUGAUGGAAAAGCAUGGAAGCUUGAAGAUAACCAAUUUCCAAAACAAAAAUUGACACUGCUCAUACCACUGUGGUGGCGGCUGGCCGCUGAUGAACCAGGCGUGUCGGCUGCAAGCACACGGGCCAGAACGGUCACAGCUCAAGGAAACUAACUGUGCUGUCCGGGUGCGGGAGACAGGGGAGUUGAUGAGAGACAACUGGGCUAUGUUUGUGCGAUUUCUGUGUGAGAGAAAC